Molecule: long non-coding RNA, 214 nt
Filed under: Vigna radiata
Lineage: Eukaryota; Viridiplantae; Streptophyta; Magnoliopsida; Fabales; Fabaceae
Description: long non-coding RNA (VRAD_LNC011725)
Source: RNAcentral
UUUUAUGGAUGCAAUGGGGUCAAGGAAAAGGGAGGAUAUAAUAUGGAUGAGAAACUACAAACCAAAAGGAAUAGAGGAGCAAUGGGGAACAAGUGAAAACACAGUCAAAUCACACCCAAAACCCUCUAAUUCAAUCCUCUUCUUGACUCCGUUAUUCACAUAAUUUACUUUUUUUUUAAAUUUUCUCAUUUUUCUGAAUUUUUUUUUCUUUGUA